Molecule: ribosomal RNA, 465 nt
Filed under: uncultured bacterium
Lineage: Bacteria
Description: partial 16S ribosomal RNA
Rfam family: Bacterial small subunit ribosomal RNA
Source: RNAcentral
GACGAACGCUGGCGGCGUGCUUAACACAUGCAAGUCGAACGGAAAGGCCCUGCUUGCAGGGUACUCGAGUGGCGAACGGGUGAGUAACACGUGGGUGAUCUGCCCUGCACUUCGGGAUAAGCCUGGGAAACUGGGUCUAAUACCGGAUAGGAGCCAUUUUUAGUGUGAUGGUUGGAAAGUUUUUUCGGUGUAGGAUGAGCUCGCGGCCUAUCAGCUUGUUGGUGGGGUAAUGGCCUACCAAGGCGGCGACGGGUAGCCGGCCUGAGAGGGUGGACGGCCACAGUGGGACUGAGAUACGGCCCAGACUCCUACGGGAGGCAGCAGGGGGGAAGAUUGCACAAUGGGCGCAAGCCUGAUGCAGAGACGCCGCGUGGGGGAGGACGGCCUUCGGGUUGGAAACUCCUUUCGCUAGGGACGAAGCUUUUUGUGACGGUACCUAGAUAAGAAGCACCGGCUAACUACGUG